Molecule: ribosomal RNA, 389 nt
Filed under: uncultured bacterium
Lineage: Bacteria
Description: bacterial SSU rRNA
Rfam family: Bacterial small subunit ribosomal RNA
Source: RNAcentral
AUUGAACGCUGGCGGAAUGCUUUACACAUGCAAGUCGAGCGGCAGCGCGGGGGCAACCCUGGCGGCGAGCGGCGAACGGGUGAGUAAUAUAUCGGAACGUACCCCGUCGUGGGGAGUAACACAGCGAAAGCUGUGCUAAUACCGCAUACGACCUGAGGGUGAAAGCGGGGGAUCGCAAGACCUCGCGCGAUGGGAGCGGCCGAUAUCGGAUUAGCUUGUUGGUGAGGUAAAGGCUCACCAAGGCGACGAUCCGUAGCUGGUCUGAGAGGACGACCAGCCACACUGGAACUGAGACACGGUCCAGACUCCUACGGGAGGCAGCAGUGGGGAAUUUUGGGUACAAUGGGGGCGAACCCUGAUCCAGCCAUUCCGCGUGAGUGAAGAAGGCC